GGCGGCAGGCCUAACACAUGCAAGUCGGGCGGUAACAGGGAGUGCUUGCACUUCGCUGACGAGCGGCGGACGGGUGAGUAAUGCAUAGGAAUCUGCCUGGUAGUGGGGGAUAGCCCAGAGAAAUUUGGAUUAAUACCGCAUACGCCCUACGGGGAAAGCAGGGGGGAUCUUCGGACCUUGCGCUAUCAGAUGAGCCUAUGUCGGAUUAGCUUGUUGGUGAGGUAACGGCUCACCAAGGCGACGAUCCGUAGCUGGUCUGAGAGGAUGAUCAGCCACACUGGGACUGAGACACGGCCCAGACUCCUACGGGAGGCAGCAGUGGGGAAUAUUGGACAAUGGGCGCAAGCCUGAUCCAGCCAUGCCGCGUGUGUGAAGAAGGCCUUCGGGUUGUAAAGCACUUUCAGCGAGGAGGAAAGGAUGGUUGCUAAUAUCAGCCGUCUGUGACGUUACUCGCAGAAGAAGCACCGGCUAACUCCGUG
RNAcentral lists this ribosomal RNA (479 nucleotides) under uncultured bacterium. RNAcentral describes it as "bacterial SSU rRNA". It matches the Rfam family "Bacterial small subunit ribosomal RNA", at positions 38 to 507 of the family's 1533-position model. The record is from RNAcentral.